This 587-nucleotide long non-coding RNA is filed under the name Rattus norvegicus (Norway rat). RNAcentral describes it as "long non-coding RNA NONRATT007074". Lineage: Eukaryota; Metazoa; Chordata; Mammalia; Rodentia; Muridae. The record is from RNAcentral.
CCUGUGCAUCUCUCUCUCCUUCCCUCUCCCUUCUCCCUCUUUCUCCCUCCCUUUCUCCAUCUAAACCCUUCCCUCUGUCUGGCUCUUACCUCCCCACCUCACCCCUGCCUUGCUUGGCCAUCCUUCUUCUCUGCCUCCCCUGUCCGCAUGGCCUUUCUUACAGGGGAGCCUCCACCUCGCCCACCUCAGCCUGCCAUCUUCACUCACAGUAAGUGGGGCUGUUCAGGAUGCCUUGGCCCCCGCCCUCUCUCUCCUCUCUCUCCUCUCCUGGAAGGUACAGAGCCCCGGAGGCUGGCUGUGUGGAAGGGGAAGCGGGUGUGUGCUGUGAGCUUGCUCUUGCUGCUAACCCAGCCUGGCAUGCCUUCCUUCCUCAGCUCUCCCUCAAAGCCUGGCUUGACCUUGCUCUGCUGUGCCUGGGCCAGCCUCACUGGAGAGGUCAUGUCUGGGAUGUGGUGGCAGCUAUCAGGAGCUCUGUCCUCUGAGGAAAGCUGCUGUUGGCCCGUGUCUGCUGUAAUAGUGUGCCACAAUAGAGGGGAGGGGAGGGGUUACUAACCAGGAGCAGAGAGCAGGGCUCUUGUGUUAGGAAU